UUAUACAAUGUAUGAGAAACUUUAUUGCACCAAAGAAACUAGGGCAUAUUUUUUACUCGUUUCAUAUUGAGCUGCUUUUUCACAUAUAUACUCUGUUCAGUUCCUGUAUUCAUUACAUGCUUAAACCACCUCAGUCUGUUUUCCAGCUACUAGGUACCAACAUCUGAUAACUUUCUAAUUUGUAAUAUGAUCUCAAUGUACUCAAGUACUGAAUUUUAGUUUUCUUUUCAGAAAACUAAAAGCAGCACAACAGACAAUGCGAAGGUCAAAAAAGUUCCAAUGAUUUGGACUAGAUGGGAACUCGGGUAGAAGUUUUGUGAUGUGUAUAAUCCUGUGAAGGGGCCAUCUGACAUAAAAACUAUUAAUGAUAACUUAUGGAGUCCAGUGACAAAUGCACAGUUAGCUGAGGUUGGAUGGGUAACAUUGUUGUAUGUAUCAUCAGCUACAGUGGUCUUCACAGGCUUUUGUGUGGUGCAACAGUUACUAUAUGUCUUCAGAGGCCAAACUGCAUAUGAGUAUAAUAAGGAAUGAGAUUAAAAGCCUAAUAGUUGGUGUAGCCGUUUUCAUGGUAAGUUUACAAAUGUAACUAUUUUGUAUAGUAAUAUAUUUUAUCGUUUAAAUACCAGCUUCAGGCUCUUCAUCUCCUUCAAAAAUGUUUUGUAAAUUUAGCCAUUGAUUGUUGUAUGGUUAGUUGGUUCCUGAUUUGUAAUUGUUUGAAAACCUAGUUUUUUUUCUUUUUAGUAUUCAUG
Macrobrachium nipponense is the source of this 749-nucleotide long non-coding RNA. RefSeq lists it as uncharacterized. The transcript is spliced from 3 exons. NCBI's taxonomy places the organism in Eukaryota, Metazoa, Arthropoda, Malacostraca, Decapoda, Palaemonidae. The record is from RefSeq and is a predicted model, not a curated record.